RNAcentral lists this ribosomal RNA (449 nucleotides) under uncultured bacterium. RNAcentral's name for it is "partial 16S ribosomal RNA". It matches the Rfam family "Bacterial small subunit ribosomal RNA", at positions 328 to 794 of the family's 1533-position model. The record is from RNAcentral.
AAGCCAGACUCCUACGGGAGGCAGCAGUGGGGAAUAUUGCACAAUGGGGGAAACCCUGAUGCAGCGACGCCGCGUGAGCGAAGAAGUACCUCGGUAUGUAAAGCUCUAUCAGCAGGGAAGAAGAUGACGGUACCUGACCAAGAAGCUCCGGCUAAAUACGUGCCAGCAGCCGCGGUAAUACGUAUGGAGCAAGCGUUAUCCGGAUUUACUGGGUGUAAAGGGAGCGCAGGCGGCCUUGUAAGUCUGAUGUGAAAGCCCGGGGCUCAACCCCGGGACUGCAUUUGGAACUGUGUAGCUGGAGUGUCGGAGAGGCAAGCGGAAUUCCUAGUGUAGCGGUGAAAUGCGUAGAUAUUAGGAGGAACACCAGUGGCGAAGGCGGACUGCUGGACGAUGACUGACGUUGAGGCUCGAAAGCGUGGGGAGCAAACAGGAUUAGAUACCCCCGUAAA